AAACUUCGAGGAGUUCCUCUGAACAAUUCCUCAACAAUUUGAUAAGUUCCUUAAAAAGUUCCUAACUUCCUGUUUCGUUGACCAAUCAGAUUUUAUUUUUGAGCAAUCUGAUUGGCCAAUGAAAGUUAGGAACUUUUUAAGGAACUUAUCAAAUUGUUGAGGAAUUGUUCAGAGGAACUCCUCGAAGUUA
Molecule: microRNA precursor, 190 nt
Filed under: Paramuricea clavata
Lineage: Eukaryota; Metazoa; Cnidaria; Anthozoa; Malacalcyonacea; Plexauridae
Source: RNAcentral